Long non-coding RNA from Oryctolagus cuniculus (rabbit), 2147 nucleotides. The record is from Ensembl. Lineage: Eukaryota; Metazoa; Chordata; Mammalia; Lagomorpha; Leporidae.
GGGCUGGCUCUUCUGGCUGGGAGGUCCUGGUGGGGCCCCAGGGCCAGGGCCUCUGCAGAGGCUGCUGUGCCGGUACCACCUCUGCUGCUCCUCCGGUCUCCUGGGAACCCAUUACCACUUAGAGCUUAGGAAUCCUGGACCUCCAGCAUUGGAUCUGGAAAGCAGGGUUUGUGGUUCCAAGCUCAGUGCAGGUGCAAGCUCCUAGGGUGGAUUUGCAAUCUGCUGGGCUCUCUUUACGGAAUUAUCUGGAGAUGCUGAAUUUAGACAUUGCAAGAAGUCACAGCCUUUCACAGCUGGGAACAAAAAGGAGCAGCUCCGAGGACAUGGAGCACGGCUGCCGCCCCUCUCUGCUCUGCAGUCUCCCCUCCCUGCUUCUCCUCGCCCAGCUGCCCACGUGGGGGUCCUCAGGUGAGUGCAUCCCUAUCCCUCCCCCUGGAGCCUCUAGGAUGAGGUUGGCGGAGGCCCAUGCUCUAGAAAGUUGGUGGUGCUCUCCCAGUCACUGGUUACCAUUAAAAUUUAAGAAGAGUCACUCAGCCAUAAAGUGAGUGUUAGGGAUCCUGACAAUUGUCAAGGAUGUUUUGUGGGUGUUUUAGUGUCAAGUAUCAAUAAUUUGAAAAUACCUCUCCCUUCACGUUUGCCUUCCCUCCUUUUUUGGCAUUCUGAGAAUUUAUUUGCUCAUUUAUUUAUCCCCCCAAUAUUAAUGAAAUAUCAACUGAAUGUUAGGGGCUGUUCUUUGAACACAACAGAUAGACCUACCUGUGUCCAGGCUUUCCUUCCAGCAGCAGAAUUGAAGGAGAUGAGUGAUGGGAAAUGAAGUAGGACAGGAAUGUGGAUCGGGUGUGGGCAGCGGUCAUGUUCAGAGAGGUGGGCAGUGUAGAGAGUGAGAUGGGAACAAGGAUGUGGAGGAAGGGCUAUUCUGUGAGGACCCCCAGGGAAAGACAUUCCACGGGGGCAGCCAGUGCCAAGCUGGCAGUGUGCCCGGUGUGAGGCACCUCAAAGGCAAGCACUGGCUGGAGCAGAGGCAGUUUGGGAAAAGAAGCAAGAGUUGGGGUCAGAUAAUUCCUGGGGUCCACCCUGUUUGGUCUGCGGGACCCUGGGUGAGGGAGCUAGGGAGUGAGGGAUGGGCUCUGGGCAGAGUAGGGAUGUGGUUUAGCUCAGAGAUUAAAAUGAUCACAGUGUGGAAGUGGGGAGAGAACAGACACAGCCUUCGUCUGUUGCCCUCCUCUGGGUGAGACGACGGUGGCUGGAGGGGGUGGUUGGUGGCUGUUCUGAGGCCCGUGGCAACUUGUUCUGCACAAGAGUCCUGCUGCGACCGUGUCAAGGCCUCAGAGGGCCCAGGGUGAGGAGAGGAUAGAGGGUGGCUUGAAUUGUCUUCAAAAUUUAUUUAUUAAUUCAAUAGAGUGAGAGAGAGAGAGAGAGAGAGAAUCUUCCAUCAGCUGGUUCACUCCCUGAAUGGCUGCAAUGGCUGUGGCUGGGUCAGACUCAAAGCAGGAAGCUGGAACUCCAUCUGAAGUCUCCCUUGCAGGUGGUAGGGGGCCAAGUUCUUGGCUGUCUUCUUCUGCUUCCCCAGGAGACUUAGCAAGGAGCUGAAUCAGAAGUGGAGAGCUGGGACUGGAACCAGUGCUCAUAAGCGAUACCUGCAUUUCAGGCAGUGCUUUAACCUGCAGUGCCACAAAGCUGCCCCAUGAACUUGCUGCGUUAGCCAGCAGCAAGUCCAGCUUCUUUGAGCAAUGAGGGCAGGUGUCUAAUAGAAGUAGCCUCUGAGUCUGUUCUAGUGCACCUAGAGUUCAGUGGAGGAUAAAAGGAUGGGCAGAAAAAGUCAGCUUAGCAAUGGAAGUGGGCAGUUUCCUGGGUUGACUGAUCCAGGAAUUCUGAGGGAGGCCCCAGGUGAACUCCUGGAUUAGUUUCCAGGCUGUCCUGACGCUGGCAGGUUAGAACUGUGGUUCUCAUAGUAUAGCUCCUGGAUCAACACUGUUAGCUACCCGAGGACUGCUCUGAAAUGCUUAGAAACUCUUGGGCCUGCCCCAUACCAACUGAAUCUGGAGCUGUGGAGGUAGGGGCCCAGUAAUCUGAGUUUUACAAGGGAAGGGAUUUAAAAGAGAGGCAGGGACAAUAAAGGCAGAUGCCCAGGAGUGAGUGAGGUGAGA